RNAcentral lists this ribosomal RNA (419 nucleotides) under uncultured bacterium. Its description in RNAcentral is "bacterial SSU rRNA". It matches the Rfam family "Bacterial small subunit ribosomal RNA", at positions 361 to 777 of the family's 1533-position model. The record is from RNAcentral.
AUAUUGGUCAAUGGAGGCAACUCUGAACCAGCCAUGCCGCGUGCAGGAAGACAGCCCUAUGGGUCGUAAACUGCUUUUAUUGGGGAAUAACCUCCUGUAUGUAUACAGGACUGAAUGUACCCAAGGAAUAAGGAUCGGCUAACUCCGUGCCAGCAGCCGCGGUAAUACGGAGGAUCCAAGCGUUAUCCGGAUUUAUUGGGUUUAAAGUGUGCGUAGGCGGCCUAUUAAGUCAGGGGUGAAAGACGGUGGCUCAACCAUCGCAGUGCCUUUGAUACUGAUGGGCUUGAAUGCAGCUGAGGUAGGCGGAAUGUGACAAGUAGCGGUGAAAUGCAUAGAUAUGUCACAGAACACCGAUUGCGAAGGCAGCUUACUAAAGUGCAAUUGACGCUGAGGCACGAAAGCGUGGGGAUCAAACAGGA